UGUGUGUGUGUGUGUGUGUGUGUGUGUGUGUGUGUGUGUGUGUGUGUGUGUGUGUGUAUCAUGGUGUGUGUUUUGUCCUCCGUCUGUAUCUGAUGAUGGGGUUGUUGGGUGUGUGUGUGUAUCAUAGUGUGUGUGUGUGUGUGUGUGUGUGUGUGU
Long non-coding RNA from Tachysurus fulvidraco (yellow catfish), 156 nucleotides. RefSeq lists it as uncharacterized. The transcript has 3 exons. The record is from RefSeq and is a predicted model, not a curated record. Lineage: Eukaryota; Metazoa; Chordata; Actinopteri; Siluriformes; Bagridae.